Molecule: ribosomal RNA, 443 nt
Filed under: uncultured bacterium
Lineage: Bacteria
Description: partial 16S ribosomal RNA
Rfam family: Bacterial small subunit ribosomal RNA
Source: RNAcentral
CCUACGGGGGGCAGCAGUGGGGAAUAUUGGGCAAUGGAGGAAACUCUGACCCAGCAACGCCGCGUGAAUGAUGAAGGUCUUCGGAUGGUAAAGUUCUUUUCUAAGGGAAGAAGAAAGUGACGGUACCUUAGGAAUAAGCCUCGGCUAACUACGUGCCAGCAUCCGCGGUAAUACGUAGGAGGCGAGCGUUAUCCGGAAUGACUGGGCGUAAAGGGUGCGUAGGUGGUUUGGCAAGUUAGUAGUGAAACUCCAAGGCUCAAGCUUGGAACUACUACUAAAACUGUUGGACUUGAGUGCGGGGGGGGCGGCCGGAAUUCCUAGUGUAGCGGUGGAAUGCGUAGAUAUUAGGAGGAACACCAGUGGCGAAGGCAGGUUGCUAGUCUGUAACUGACACUGAGGCACGAAAGCGUGGGGAGCAAACAGGAUUAGAUACCCGUGUAGUC